RNAcentral lists this ribosomal RNA (599 nucleotides) under Cryptotriton veraepacis (Baja Verapaz salamander). Its description in RNAcentral is "partial 16S ribosomal RNA". The record is from RNAcentral. Lineage: Eukaryota; Metazoa; Chordata; Amphibia; Caudata; Plethodontidae.
CUAGCAAGUCUAACCCAACAAAAAGAAUUUAAGCCGGACCCCCCGAAACCAAACGAGCUACCCCGGAGCAACCUACGAGUUAAUCCCCCUCUGUGGCAAAAGAGCGGAAAGACCCCGAGGUAGAGGCAAUAAACCUAACGAGCUUGAAUAUAGCUGGUUACUUGAAAAAUGAACUUUAGUUCAACCAAAAGCUCCCAAACCACCAAGAAAUAAGCAUGCUUUUAUCAUAGUAAAUUAGGGUACAGCCUAAUUAAUAAGGGAAACAACCCACACAAAUGAAUAACGACCAAUAUAUCAGGACCACCGCCCAGUAGGCCUAAAAGCAGCCACCAAAAUAGCGUUAAAGCUUAACGACACCUAACCCACUAUUCCACUAAAUAAUCCAAAUUCAACACAAUAAUCAAGUUAAUCUAUAUUAGAUAAAUUAUUACUAGAAUGAGUAACAAGGACACAUCCUCAAAAUACAUGUGUAAAUCAAAAUGAAUACAUCACCGAUAUUUAACAAAUAUAUUAGCAAACUAAUAAUUAAACUGUUAACCCAACACAGGAGUAUUUAAGAUGACCCAAAGCUUAGGAAGGAACUCGGCAAACGAGGCCCC